UACGGGGGGGGUAAGCGUUGUUCGGAAUUACUGGGCGUAAAGCGCACGUAGGCGGAUAUUUAAGUCAGGGGUGAAAUCCCGGGGCUCAACCCCGGAACUGCCUUUGAUACUGGGUAUCUGGAGGUCGAGAGAGGCGAGUGGAAUUCCGAGUGUAGAGGUGAAAUUCGUAGAUAUUCGGAGGAACACCAGUGGCGAAGGCGGCUCGCUGGCUCGAUACUGACGCUGAGGUGCGAAAGCGUGGGGAGCAAACAGG
Molecule: ribosomal RNA, 253 nt
Filed under: uncultured bacterium
Lineage: Bacteria
Description: partial 16S ribosomal RNA
Rfam family: Bacterial small subunit ribosomal RNA
Source: RNAcentral